GUGACAAGGGGAUGUGCGGAUUUAGAAUCGAGCUGAUGGGUGGCAGCCGUCCAGCGAGGGGGUGGUGUAGUACUGGGGCGGUGGGGAGCUGCGGCUGCUGGGAGGCAGGCGGGGCUUGAGGCUGCGGGGAGGCAACGGAGGUGUCGAGGUCCAAAGGGAGGGUCUGCUAUAGGACCUCCUCUAGGAGGAGGCGGAGAGGUGGCGCCGGCUGGAGCGGGCGCGGAGGUGGAGAACGUGGAGUAAAGCGGUGCAGCAGCAAGGGGUGAGGAAGCGCGCGGCGAUGGCGAGGGAGGUGUUCCAGGGGCACGAGCCGAAGGAGGCACGACUGAAGAUGCGGCGGGUCAGAGGCGUGGGGAGGCGGGGCCGGCGGUUGCGGGAGCGCGUCCGACGGCUAAAGCGGAAGUCGAAGGAGGGGUUGGGGUGGACGACCUCGGGGGCACUGCAGGCGCUGCCGGCGCAAGAGAAGAGGCGGCAGAGUCAGAGGCUUCCAGCACCGCUGAAGUAUCUGCGGUGGAGGUUGUGGAAACACCUAGAGCACCAGACACUAGGGGACAGGGCCGCGAUGUAGGCCUAGGGUGGGCAGGGCCUUCUGGAUCGCCUGAGGCACGUCGUGACGCCGUACAAUCUAAAGCUCGGGAAAAAACGAGGCCGGUCACUGCUGCACGCCGUCCCACUUAGCAGCAAGUUUCACUAGACGUUCCACAACACGCUUUUGUUCCAACGACAGAAGCAGAAGAGAAGUGUGUGGCCAUUUACCCAAUCAUAAGUUGUGGUACCAAACCCGCGAAACAGGUUACUUCAACACCUACGUAACAUACGUGCGACACCUGACGUAGCCGCGGUAAUACGUGUGCCAACAAAGACAACCCACAAUCUUACCUACCUGUUUGACGAGUACGAACUGUGCGCACUCUACUUUAAGUGGUAAUAUCUAGAGGGCGGGUUGUCAGUACCCCCUUCCGAGCGGUAACACCUUCGUCCUCUUCCAUACUAACCCAACAAUUUAUAACCAUACGCGUGCAAUCUGAAGAUGACAUUCCAAACCGCUUUGUUUUCAUUUCCGUGGUUUCUCACCGUCGUGUCGUGCUAUUUGGUAGGCAACGGGUUAAUAGUGACCACGUAGUAACCACGCCUACUCCUCAUGAAUGAGGAUUCUCCCUAAAGUGAUCUAACCGGGACCAAACCUUCGAGAAGUGUCGUCUCUGGCCUAUAUCUCAUAAAACGUAACCUUGAGUUCUGUAAGGUCGAACUCUCCUACAUACACAGUUUCUUGUUUUACUACGUACGAGUGGACAUAGCUCCGAAGGGUGGUAAUAACAGAGGUGGUUCGUAUACUCCUGUAGAACUCCCCUGUUUCGUGGCACCUAUAGUCGUAGACAUGCUACCGAAAUGAUAUCUUCUUAUAUAGCCAACGAUGACCGUGACUCCAAUGACCUUUGAUUCCACAAACCCUUUCCAACUUCAAGUCAUCACCCUAAACGAGCUUGACGUCCUUUAAGUUGAUCACAUACCAUAAACAGCCCCGAAGUACUUUGUACUAGAUUUAGAGAUAUGUCGUCCUAAAUGAAAACCACCAGACCAAGUAAGGUCCUUGUACCUACAAGCCUUCCGGUUUAACGGAAAGUUUAUUCUAGAACACCCGAACGGGGUAUCGUGAUUUUCUGCCGUAAAGCUAUCGUCAAGUUCAGCUGUAUAUCUGUGGCCGGUCCUUUACUAAUUAAAAGAAAGGCACUUCACUCCUCUUGCGAUUAGUGUCUAGAACUAAACACCAGAUCGAAUUUUCUUUAUAAACAAACCCAAAGGUAACUUGAAAGAAGACGCUCAACCAAAGUGCCCUCCCCUUGGACCACUAACUAGUACCACAACCCCAACCCCACACAUUGGACCUAAAACACCUCCCAAACCUUAGUUUCGGAUACCUCCCAGCUGAUUAGUUCCGGCACAACGUAGUUCAACGAGCUCCUCUUCUUUUUACAGAACCUUCUGUCCUCCACCGGUAGACUAACACCGCGAUAGAAGAACCAGAGAACCACAAUCAGAGACUAAAACACCGCACCAGAACAAGACAUGAGACGACCAUCCCAACAAUAUAAGACAAAACUACGAGCACACAACACUCAGACGGUACAAGCCACUCACAGUGGUAGAAGGAACAUAGACACUCGUACAAAGAAUAUAUGAAGUUUUCGAGUCCUCCAAAAAAAGGGGUAAAACAGAUUCUGUAGUCGAUGAUAGCCAUCACAGAUGACCGACACUACUGUAGCUAGACAUCAAACUAAACAGGUUACAAGUAAGGUACAUGUUUAGACUUAUCUAUUUAUUUAACCUAGACAAGUAUUGGUC
Molecule: ribosomal RNA, 2343 nt
Filed under: Triticum aestivum (bread wheat)
Lineage: Eukaryota; Viridiplantae; Streptophyta; Magnoliopsida; Poales; Poaceae
Description: partial small subunit ribosomal RNA
Source: RNAcentral